This 1700-nucleotide ribosomal RNA is filed under the name Campylobacter coli. RNAcentral describes it as "partial 23S ribosomal RNA". It matches the Rfam family "Bacterial large subunit ribosomal RNA", at positions 1244 to 2925 of the family's 2925-position model. Lineage: Bacteria; Pseudomonadati; Campylobacterota; Epsilonproteobacteria; Campylobacterales; Campylobacteraceae. The record is from RNAcentral.
UUUGCGUCGAAGGUAUACCGGUAAGGAGUGCUGGAGCGAAUAGAAGUGAGCAUGCAGGCAUGAGUAGCGAUAAUUAAUGUGAGAAUCAUUAACGCCGUAAACCCAAGGUUUCCUACGCGAUGCUCGUCAUCGUAGGGUUAGUCGGGUCCUAAGUCGAGUCCGAAAGGGGUAGACGAUGGCAAAUUGGUUAAUAUUCCAAUACCAACAUUAGUGUGCGAUGGAAGGACGCUUAGGGCUAAGGGAGCUAGCGGAUGGAAGUGCUAGUCUAAGGUCGUAGGAGGUUAUACAGGCAAAUCCGUAUAACAAUACUCCGAGAACUGAAAGGCUUUUUGAAGUCUUCGGAUGGAUAGAAGAACCCCUGAUGCCGUCGAGCCAAGAAAAGUUUCUAAGUUUAGCUAAUGUUGCCCGUACCGUAAACCGACACAGGUGGGUGGGAUGAGUAUUCUAAGGCGCGUGGAAGAACUCUCUUUAAGGAACUCUGCAAAAUAGCACCGUAUCUUCGGUAUAAGGUGUGGUUCGCUUCGUAUUAGGAUUUACUCCGAAAGCGAAGAAACUUACAACAAAGAGUCCCUCCCGACUGUUUACCAAAAACACAGCACUCUGCUAACUCGUAAGAGGAUGUAUAGGGUGUGACGCCUGCCCGGUGCUCGAAGGUUAAUUGAUGGGGUUAGCAUUAGCGAAGCUCUUGAUCGAAGCCCGAGUAAACGGCGGCCGUAACUAUAACGGUCCUAAGGUAGCGAAAUUCCUUGUCGGUUAAAUACCGACCUGCAUGAAUGGCGUAACGAGAUGGGAGCUGUCUCAAAGAGGGAUCCAGUGAAAUUGUAGUGGAGGUGAAAAUUCCUCCUACCCGCGGCAAGACGGAGAGACCCCGUGGACCUUUACUACAGCUUGACACUGCUAUUUGGAUAAGAAUGUGCAGGAUAGGUGGGAGGCUUUGAGUAUAUGACGCCAGUUGUAUAUGAGCCAUUGUUGAGAUACCACUCUUUCUUAUUUGGGUAGCUAACCAGCUUGAGUUAUCCUCAAGUGGGACAAUGUCUGGUGGGUAGUUUGACUGGGGCGGUCGCCUCCCAAAUAAUAACGGAGGCUUACAAAGGUUGGCUCAGAACGGUUGGAAAUCGUUCGUAGAGUAUAAAGGUAUAAGCCAGCUUAACUGCAAGACAUACAAGUCAAGCAGAGACGAAAGUCGGUCUUAGUGAUCCGGUGGUUCUGUGUGGAAGGGCCAUCGCUCAAAGGAUAAAAGGUACCCCGGGGAUAACAGGCUGAUCUCCCCCAAGAGCUCACAUCGACGGGGAGGUUUGGCACCUCGAUGUCGGCUCAUCGCAUCCUGGGGCUGGAGCAGGUCCCAAGGGUAUGGCUGUUCGCCAUUUAAAGCGGUACGCGAGCUGGGUUCAGAACGUCGUGAGACAGUUCGGUCCCUAUCUGCCGUGGGCGUAAGAAGAUUGAAGAGAUUUGACCCUAGUACGAGAGGACCGGGUUGAACAAACCACUGGUGUAGCUGUUGUUCUGCCAAGAGCAUCGCAGCGUAGCUAAGUUUGGAAAGGAUAAACGCUGAAAGCAUCUAAGCGUGAAGCCAACUCUAAGAUGAAUCUUCUCUAAGCUCUCUAGAAGACUACUAGUUUGAUAGGCUGGGUGUGUAAUGGAUGAAAGUCCUUUAGCUGACCAGUACUAAUAGAGCGUUUGGCUUAUCUUUAAUAAAGCAU